CCUACGGGUGGCAGCAGUGAGGAAUAUUGGUCAAUGGACGAGAGUCUGAACCAGCCAAGUAGCGUGAAGGAUGACUGCCCUAUGGGUUGUAAACUUCUUUUAUAUGGGAAUAAAAUGUUCCACGUGUGGGAUUUUGUAUGUACCAUAUGAAUAAGGAUCGGCUAACUCCGUGCCAGCAGCCGCGGUAAUACGGAGGAUUCGAGCGUUAUCCGGAUUUAUUGGGUUUAAAGGGAGCGUAGGUGGAUUGUUAAGUCAGUUGUGAAAGUUUGCGGCUCAACCGUAAAAUUGCAGUUGAAACUGGCAGUCUUGAGUACGGUAGAGGUAGGCGGAAUUCGUGGUGUAGCGGUGAAAUGCUUAGAUAUCGCGAAGAACUCCGAUUGCGAAGGCAGUUCACUGGACUGCAACUGACACUGAGGCUCGAAAGUGUGGGUAUCAAACAGGAUUAGAUACCCUAGUAGUC
This 460-nucleotide ribosomal RNA is filed under the name uncultured bacterium. Its description in RNAcentral is "partial 16S ribosomal RNA". It matches the Rfam family "Bacterial small subunit ribosomal RNA", at positions 338 to 795 of the family's 1533-position model. The record is from RNAcentral.